Molecule: transfer RNA, 506 nt
Filed under: uncultured Treponema sp.
Lineage: Bacteria; Pseudomonadati; Spirochaetota; Spirochaetia; Treponematales; Treponemataceae
Description: 16S-23S ribosomal RNA intergenic spacer
Rfam family: tRNA (bases 170-243)
Source: RNAcentral
AAGAGAAAGGUACUGAAAUAUGCUUUGCGUAUUUCAAAAGUGAGUUUUCGUAAGAAAAUUCACAAGCUGUAAAUAAUUGCAGCUGGUGUUUGUGUAUACACCAAAAUUUGAGUUCAUUUACUCAAAAAUCUUACUGCUCUUUCUUUCCCCUUAAUUUUUUAUAUAAACUGGGACUGUAGCUCAGUCGGUUAGAGCACUUCUCUGAUAAGGAAGGGGUCGUUAGUUCAACUCUAACCAGUCCCACAUAUCAAAGGUGCUUUUUUUAUACCUUUGCUGUUUAUACACUCUGAAAGAGUGCAUAAACAAGAGAUCUUUGACAUAACAAGGGAAGGAAGUAAUAACAAUCAUAAUGUAAAGAUGUUUUUUUAAGACAUUUUUACUUUAGCUUGCUUGUUUUUAAGACAAAAAGUUUUAAAAACAAAUAAACGAAGGUUAACUAUUUUGUGCGAAAGUACAAGAUAGUGUGAAGAAAAAUUAAAAGACUGUAUAAGCAGAAAGCAUAAUAU